UACGUAGGGUGCAAGCGUUAAUCGGAAUUACUGGGCGUAAAGCGUGCGCAGGCGGUUGUGCAAGACAGGUGUGAAAUCCCCGGGCUUAACCUGGGAACUGCACUUGUGACUGCACAGCUGGAGUACGGCAGAGGGGGAUGGAAUUCCGCGUGUAGCAGUGAAAUGCGUAGAUAUGCGGAGGAACACCGAUGGCGAAGGCAGUCCCCUGGGCCUGUACUGACGCUCAUGCACGAAAGCGUGGGGAGCAAACAGGAUUAGAUACCCUGGUAGUCCACGCCCUAAACGAUGUCAACUGGUUGUUGGGAAGGUUCCUUCUCAGUAACGUAGCUAACGCGUGAAGUUGACCGCCUGGGGAGUACGGCCGCAAGGUUG
RNAcentral lists this ribosomal RNA (372 nucleotides) under uncultured bacterium. Its description in RNAcentral is "bacterial SSU rRNA". It matches the Rfam family "Bacterial small subunit ribosomal RNA", at positions 524 to 896 of the family's 1533-position model. The record is from RNAcentral.